GUGAACGCUGGCGGUAGGCCUAACACAUGCAAGUCGAACGGCAGCACAGUAAGAGCUUGCUCUUACGGGUGGCGAGUGGCGGACGGGUGAGGAAUACAUCGGAAUCUACUUUUUCGUGGGGGAUAACGUAGGGAAACUUACGCUAUACCGCAUACGACCUACGGGUGAAAGCAGGGGAUCUUCGGACCUUGCGCGAUUGAAUGAGCCGAUGUCGGAUUAGCUAGUUGGCGGGGUAAAGGCCCACCAAGGCGACGAUCCGUAGCUGGUCUGAGAGGAUGAUCAGCCACACUGGAACUGAGACACGGUCCAGACUCCUACGGGAGGCAGCAGUGGGGAAUAUUGGACAAUGGGCGCAAGCCUGAUCCAGCCAUACCGCGUGGGUGAAGAAGGCCUUCGGGUUGUAAAGCCCUUUUGUUGGGAAAGAAAAGCAGCAGGUUAAUACCCCGCUGUUCUGACGGUACCCAAAGAAUAAGCACCGGCUAACUUCGUG
Molecule: ribosomal RNA, 490 nt
Filed under: uncultured bacterium
Lineage: Bacteria
Description: partial 16S ribosomal RNA
Rfam family: Bacterial small subunit ribosomal RNA
Source: RNAcentral